This 18030-nucleotide long non-coding RNA is filed under the name Solanum tuberosum (potato). RNAcentral's name for it is "long non-coding RNA (STUB_LNC003798)". Lineage: Eukaryota; Viridiplantae; Streptophyta; Magnoliopsida; Solanales; Solanaceae. The record is from RNAcentral.
GGAGCAUGCAACAACAAGCUUUGACAAAGUUUUCACAGUAAGAGAAAAGUAAAAGACGAGAGGAAAUACUUUCUCUUUCUUCGAUCAACAGAAGCAUUCCUUGGGUCAGUUUUAGCAAGACCAGAUCCAGGAGGGAUGGCGUACUGCAUCGGGGAAAGAGCUGCAGCUGUAACAGGUGUAGGAGCAAGAGGUGGAGCGGCUGGAGGGGCUACACUUGAUGGUAGUGAUGCAGGUGGAGCCGAACUUGGUGCAGUUGCAGGCUCAGGAAGCGGCCGCGGCAAAAUAUGUUUCAACCGGUUAUUUCUAUAGUUCUUCCAGAAGUAAAAUUGCUGCCUAUGUGCCACUUCCUAAUAGUUGUUACAAACAUGUAGAUUAGAUCCUAUCACAGAUUUAUAUGCCAGAACUUUAGGUUGGCAAACAAAGUGCAAUAGUUAAUAAAAAGUGAAAUGAGAUGAGAAGUCCUCGGGGAGAGAAUUAACCUGGACAACGCAAUUAAAUAAUUAUAAGUUUUAUGUUUAGAAACUACGAAAAAGUUAAGAAAGGGAAAUAAGGCUGAUGGCUAAGACGAUGAAGUAACAUGUAUUAUAAAGUGCUUUGGCUGCAUUUUUUGUCCAUUACACAAAGUGGGACAGACUUUCUUUAUAGUGGCUGACAGUCUUAACUAAUUAAAGGGUAUAGCAAAAGUGGAGAAGGAAACCAGGGCAACACAUGACAUAACUUUUUACCUUGUUAGCAGGAUGCGCCAUUGCAUUACGAAAUGUUGGAUUUUGGAGAAGCUCGAGAAAGAAUAGGCAGUGUGGAUACCUGCAUUAACAUUAAGAAAGGGAAUAUCAAUACUGUUAGUUAAUGAUACCCAUAGUCCACAGCAAACAGAAAAGGAACAAGGACCAUCAACCAAAUAAAGCAUGGAAUUGAACUGCAUCUAAAAAGUUGCAGUAGAAAGAACAUACAUAACUAUUAUCAUAUAUUAAUACUAGAAACUAACUCACAUUAUAAACUUUAUGUACUCAGGUCGUUGCCAGUAUUGAAGGUACUUCAAGUACCCAAUAAAAGCUUCAUCUUCGAAAUAUCUAUUCUGAGCCAAAUCUGCAUCAGAAUCAAUACAAAGUCAAGCACAAAAAAAAAUCAAAAAAAUCAAAAAGGGAUAGAAAAAUUGAAGCUUUUGCACCCAAAUAUGCAUUUUCACACACUUAAAACAUAACGAAGAAGAAUGAAUCAUCCAACAACAUGUAUAACAUAAAACUAACUAUAAUUGGUCAUUUUGAGAAAUACCCAGAAAUUAUCAUGUUUAAUAAGAGAAGGGAAUCGAUAGAUACAGUGAAUGUAAGUGGGGUUAGCGAGGCAUUGAACAAAUUCGAGUUCCAGCAAGAAACGUUGGCGCCCAUCAUCCGGAUCUUUAUAGACGCUUUUCUGCCUGCAAAUUGGAGCAGAAAAAAACAGUUGAUUAAUGUGAAGUUGGGAAGAUACAAAUUGAUUUGAGCAAAGGCGAGAUGAAUUGAUCUGCUUACGGUGAUUCAUGGGUGUCUGGAUUCGAUGUAGAAGCCAUUCGCUAAACCCUAACUAAUUCUACUUUUCAAAGUUAGCCGUUGUUUGUAUUGGUGCGCUAUAUAUGCAAAAGGAAAGUCUGCAUAUGCAAAUGAGCAUAAAAAUAGGGAUUUCGGGCAUAAGAUUAUGAAAUUGUAUUUUUAAGAUUUGAGGGUUGAUUCGAACUCUAUUUUCGACUUGAGUUUUAUGGCUUAACUAAUUUUGAAAGAAAAUUGCAGUUUUGAACGGAUGGUUUCGACAUCUUGUAUUUGAUUUUGAUCCGAACUUUUAUAUGUCAAUACGAGUGUGAUUAGACUCGUUUAUUCACCUAGAUUAUAUACUCGAUCAGAUUGGAACGGUUCAAAGUCUUUUUAAAAAAAGAAGGUGAAGUCAUAAGAAGCGAUUUUCGAUGGGUGUUUCUUGUAUGGAACAAGGGGUAUGUGAUUAUACCUAAGUUUUGACCAUUUUUUCAUUAGUAUGCAUAAUUUUUAAGCUUAAAUUCGUAGUUAUAUAUGUGAAAAUUGUGAUUUUAGUCCUAGGGGUAAAAAGUAUAAAUUUUGGGCAAUUUUGGAUGCAACGUUUGGAAUAAAAGUCUUUACAUCGCUUUUGAUAUUUACACGCUAUUUCAUCAUUCAAUUCAUGUUUCGAAUUCAAGUUGAUUCUAUUUUGAUUCUUUCUCAAAGAAAGGUGUUUUGAUCAUGUCUACGGGCCACAACUGAAUAUAUAUGUCAUGAAAGAGAGGUGCAUGAUACCAUGCCUAAAAUGAGCAUGGAAAUUGGGAGUUUUGGACCUAGAACUACGAAAUCAUAUUAUGAUGACUUGAAAGUAGUUCAAUUCGACCUAUGUUUUCGACCAAAUUUUAGAUUUCUUUCCCCUUCAUGCAAUUACCAACUUGGACUACUUCAAUUGUUAUGUUCGUGCGGUUUCCUAUUAACAAGACGCUUUACCACACACUACAAAAAUUUCAUCUACGUCUAUAUCAAAGCAUUGUGUAUCUACCCUAACAUGUAAUAAAUAGUCCUUUCGGAAAACUAAACACCAUUGGUCUUAUUGCAUGUAGCUAUUAGGAUUUGAAGUUGGGGACAAGGAGGUUUAGGAGAGGGGAGCUUAAGAGUGACCAAACCACAACCAUAAUUCAAAGAGAAUAUACCCAUCUCCAACAAAAUGUCUAUUUUAUUUGUCAUUUCCUUUUGCUGCCCAAAAUGCAAGCACCUGAGCAAGCUAGCUAAGAAAAAACUUCUCAAUCCCCACACACCUAAAACAUCAUCCAGAGUUGAAAUUUAUGUCAGCUUAUGACUUAUUUGAAUUAUAACAUCCUUUGCCCUCCCAAAGAAAGAAAAAUAAGGAGAUGCCUCUUUCACAAAGCGAGCCCCAUGCUUCUCUCGGGAAGGCUGCAAUCCAGCUUAAGAUCCACUAGUAUGGCCUGUAGCGGAUGGAACGUCGGAACCUUGGAACCCUUCUGCAAAUAAGACGACAACACAAUACUUAUUAACUAAAGUUUGAUGUAAUCAUCAAGCAGGCAUCAGUUUGAAUCAUGUGAAGACAAAACAUGACGAUGACAGUGAACAUCAAACAAGAGAGUAAAAAUUGCACAACUGUUAAAUUAUAGCUUAUAAAAGUGAAGAGUCAAGGAGGACAAAUUGAGAGCAUGCUAAUUAGGAACACUGUAAUCCAGAUGAACAAAUAUCUGAAAAUUUACUCUUCCAUUAAAAUCUAGGGAAGUUCAGCUCUCUGUUGAAGGACAUAAAAAGCAUUCCCACCAAUUUAAGUUCUCUUUGAUAAUAAAAGGAUUAGUACCAGCCUAUCAGGAAUUCGUAUAGGAUAAUAGGAAAUAAAUUCAACUCAACAAAUCUUGUAAAAAACUUAUGUUGGACUAAUAUCAGUUGACAUGUGUUACUGCAACAAAAUACCCUACAAGUAAGUUUUAUAUUAUCCUCAUUUAACAGUUUAGUGAUGCAACACCUAUUUUUGGAGUUCUGAAGGUUUACUUUGUAUUACUUAACUGGUAGUAGUACAGGGAGCAUUGUUGCCAACAUUUGCAUUAGUGUUGCAAAAACAAAACAGCUGAUUUUGGCACAUACUACCUGUACAAAAAGUCGGCUGCGGAAUGCAUUGCAAGUGUUGUGAUGCAACGUCUUAAAAAAACAGUCAAGUGAUGCAUUUUAGAUAGGUAUAUGUAACAGUGAUUGCGUAAAAUAGAUUAGACAUAGGAGUCAUCUAGUUUAUUUCAGUGAACUGCUGACUAGACCCUUCCAUCAAUAAGACGAGACUCUAGGUUCAUCUUCUGAAGCACACUGAUAAACUUGAAAAUAGACAAGUUCGAGUAGCUGAGCUGCUAAUCCAGAAGCAUAGGACUUUAGGUCAUAUUUAGUCAAAAUACCAACAGAAAGAAGUAACUCGAAAGAACAUUAAACACAAAAGUUACCAUUUCAGAUCAACACAAUUACCAUGGCACAUGCUCUGGCUUUACGAGAAACCCAACAUCCUACUUCGUUUAAAGGAAGUAAGCCUAGAAACCCAACCAACCAAAGACAACACGAGAUUCCAUUUUAUUUGGGAGGCAGGAAGCACUGAACUACUGCUCAUGUAGGGGCAACAGUGUAGGUCAAACAAACAUGUGUUGAAGUAGAUUAUGUGGCAAGUGCAGAUCCCAUAAGGCAUCAGAGUAGGCUGUAUCCAAGUUGGGAACCAAUUAAUAUUCAACUUGACUUCCUUCAGAAAUUGAGUGAUAGAUAAAUCUAUGAAGUUGCACCUGACAGGAUACUGGUACUUAAAUGAAAUUCGCAGAGUAAGGAGAUAAGCUGAGCUUUAGCCCAAUGUUUAUUGAAGUAACAAAGGCCAGGAUAACAUUAUUGGUCAGGACGGAAACUGCUCUGAGCUAUAUGUCCCAACCACCUCUUUGCUCCUGAUCCUAGAGAUCAGACAAAGAUGUCUAGCCCCAAAAGAAUGGUCAAGCAAAGAUCCACUUUGCUUUGGACAAGUAAACAAUUUGAUGCCUCUUCUUUUUGGGUUGGGGUAAAGAAGGGGAGGUUGUACUUCAAUGAUAGAUCAAGAUUGACCGAGACAAAGUUGUAAGUUUUUUCCUUUUCUUUUGCAACACAUUUUUAAAGAUAUUUUUAGCUUUUUCCCCAAAUACAAAACCACCGACCCUACUCGUCACAUACUGUCGAAAAUUCCUUGACUUCUUUUCAUGAUUUUGUGCUCAUCCAGCAUCUAGGGUGGCAAGUUGUACUAUGAACUGCUCCUAUCUUGAUACACCUUUUAAGUUUUAAGCACCUCCAUACCCAAACAAAAACAAAAGAAACAGGAACAAAAGGAAAAAGAAAUGGCCCCAUAUAAUAAAUAAAACAGUACCACUCUAGCAUUCUGAAACUGACUAAAACAUAAAAAUCCAUGGAACCAAAAGUUCAAGCAAUGAAACUUGAAUCAUCAGCUCCUCUCAGAAAAGAAAAGUUGGAAGAAGACCCAAGGGGAGGGAUUCUCUCGAGCACAAGAUGGUAGAAAAUAGAAGCAUCAUCACAUUAGAAAAUAGAAGACCCCUCCCCUUGGGUCGCCUUCCUACUUCUCUUUUUCAAGAGCUGAGGAUUAGAGUUACAUCGCUUGAACUUUUGGUUCCAUGGAUAUUUAUGUAUUAGUCAGGUUCAAAAUGCUAGAGUGGUACUGUUUUAUGUAUUACAUGGGGCAAUUUCUUUUUCUUUUUGUUUCCUGUUUCUUUUGUUUUUGCCUGGAUAUGGAGGUGCUUAAAAGGUGUAUCAAGAUAUGAGCAGUUCAUAGUACAACUUGCCACCCUAGAUGCUAGAUGAGCUACAAAAUUAUGAAAAAAAGUCAAGGAAGUUUCGACAGUAUGUGACAAAUAGGGUUGGUGGUUUUGUAGUUGAGGAAAAAGCUAAAAAUAUCUAUAAAAAAUGUAUUGCAAAAGAAAAGGAAAAGGCAUACAACCUUGUCUUUGUCAAUAUAUAUAUAUGCAUACGCAUAUAUACACACUAAAAUAAGGUUCUGCAGAGGAUAGCAUCAUUGUUAAUUACCCAAAAGGUGGAAUGGCUGGAGCACCAGGCACAAACGCACGACGAGGGCGGAAUUCAGCAUAAGGAUUAAAUCGCCUGCCUCGAAAUUGCUUCAUACCAGGAACAUUUGUCCGCUUGGCAGACACCUAUACAUGAAAAAAGAACAUAGUUAGUAGAAGGUCUAGAAGGUGAAACAGAGUCGAUAAAUCAUUAAGGUGAUUGUUAUGGACCUUCAACUUCCGCCCGUGAAGCUCUGAUUCGUUUAACAGAAGUGCAUUUUGAACAGCCUCUAUUUCAAAGAACUCCACAUACGCAAAGCCUUUUGGCUGGCCAAGCUUGUCAGUCAGGAUAGUUACCCUGUUAACAGUGCCACAUGCUUGGAAGUGCUGCUUCACUUCCCCAGGCAAGCAAGCAUAAUCAACCUGAAGUUGAAAUGCAAAAAAAAAAAAAAAAAAAAAAAAAAAAAAAAAAAAAAAAAAAAAAUUUAAAUGACAGUUAUGCUAAGCAUUUUCACAAGAGAUGGGUCAGCAUAUAUUUUUUUUGUGGGAUGGGGGGCUGCGGCUGGCCUCAUUUCAGAUAGCGUUACAAUUAUCAAACCACAUUCAAAGACUAACAAUGAGGGGCGCCUUACAUGUGUUUUACUAACACAAUAUGGUGUUACUUUGGUAAUACAUGCAGGGAAAAAUAUAUUGUUUUUUUACUAGUUCGUGAUUUAAUGUGAGGUUAGCUCUAUCAAUACAGCAACUCAACCUAACGGCAAAAUGCAGCAACUAAUCCCGUAAAUGGAAUAUUCAGACCGAGCAAUCUAUAGUGCUGCCUUAUCCUGUCAUGUAUUUCUGAACAAACUUAUCCCAAGUAAUCAUUCUUCUGCACACAACCAAUUGCAAGCUAAGGCUACAAGAGCAAAGCUGAGAAAGUAAAACAGAAAACAAAAGUAAAGGAACAAGUAGAAGAGCAACAAACCAAUUUUCUGUGUUCAUAAUGAAAAAUAAUAAUCUGAGAGUACAGCAAUUAGACAACUGAUGCGCAAAAUAAGUCUGUUCUAGAAAGUUGAACACUAUUAUUGCUUUCUACGUGAGUUCAUGUUAAAGUUGCAUCUACAGUGUCAAAGAACAAAAAAUAAUAUAAAUAGAAGCGGGCAAAAACUAUAGGCAACAAAUUUUUGAGCAAUAAAGUAUUCUACAGUUUUAUUGGAUUAUAAUGUGAAAGCAAAUAAUCAGAUAAGGUUGAAGUAUAAAUUAAUUCAUGUCAUUGAUUAACACAAUAUAAGUCUUAUGAAGAGAAGGAUGACGCAAUUAGUAAGAACAUGUCACGUAGGGAAAAACAAAUUUACAUGUUGAGGUAAAGGCGACAAAUCUCACAUUACCGACAUAUAUGGAUCGCGAAUCCACCUCCUCCUUUUCAGCCUGAGUAGCAGAACCAGUUGGAUCUGCACAUAGUCACAAUUAUGAACAGUCACAUAAGAUUGUUUGGAUUUCCCUUGUUUUCUGGGAGGAUGGGGUUUGCUAUCAAAGGAAAAGAAUUCCUCACACACACAAAGACAAACACACUCUCUUCAAAAACAGAAGUCCAAAACCCAAGAUAACUUAAACACAUUCACUGCUCUUCUAUGCGUCAGAUAAUUGAGAGACCUUCCGAAGCACCCUAAAGUUUCACUCAUGUUUUUAAAAAGCUACCAUUAACUUGUGUUUCUUUCUCUCUCUAUAUAUAUACAUUCACACACACAUACCAAUUAACAACUAAAUAGCCAGUGUAGUCUCACAAGUGGGAUCUUGGGAGGGUGGUGUGAACACAGCCUUGCCCCUUUCUUGAAGGUAGAAAGGGGUAAGGCUAUAUAUAUAUACACAAAAAGUACAUUUAUUGUUGGAAAAAAAGAGCAGUAUGCUCCCGGGCACUAGUUUCGAGACAAUCUUCUGAAGUCCCUUCUGGACUUCGGUGGUUUUUUCUUUUCUCCAGUGGACUUCUUUCACCGGAAUACCACUCUCUUUCUUUCUUUCUCUCUUUUUUAACUCCAUUGUUGUUCAGAUGGACAACAGAGUUUAUUUCAGAUCUGGGGGGAAGUCUUGCGACAUCACAGAGUCUAGAUCAAAAGCUGAAGUAUGGUAUGACUGGGUUGAAGAUGCUAGGCAUCACAUGAGGAGAAUGGUUCUUAGCAGGGGAGCACUCGGUUGGGUCUGCAAAAGGCUAGAGGGAAAGCGGCCAAGUCAUUGAGAUGCAGGGAUGUCUCAACUAACUUCUUUAUAGCUUUGAAAUUCAAUCAAUACGGGAGAUACCUGUCUCUAAUUUCAGUUAAAGGUAGUGACAGAGCAAUUAUUAUACUCCCAGAAAGUGCAUUCAAUGAGGGGUGGGAGAAGUUAGCUAAGAAGAUAGAAGCAUUCAUUAAUGGGGGUAUAAAACACACAAAAGCAUUUAAAUUAUCAGGGGAGGCAGACUAUGCCGCUAACAAGGGGGGAAGGAGUUAUAGAGACGUUUUGCAGAAAAGUAAAUGGACCAGAAUUGAGACAGAGCUAGCAGAAGAAGGCAGCAUGUUGAAAGCUCGAGUCCAAUUAGAACACGAAGACCUAUUGGCACGUUGUCUAGUGAGGAAUUUUUUUGGAGAAGAUGAUACACCCACUAGAAAUGAUGUAAGAAGAUGGACCCAACAGACUUGGAAUGGAGUGCAUGGAGUCCAAGUCUAUGAUAUGAAUGGAAUUUUAUUUCUUUUUGAAUUCCAGUCCAGAAAAACAGCAGAACAUGUUUUGAUGGGUGACUGGAGAAGACAAGGGAGCAGAUUAAAGCUUCAAUGGUGGUCACCGACCAUUGGGGCUUUCCCAAUAACCCAUGAGUUCGAAUGGUUCUGGAUUCGAGUUCUAGGGUUGCCUCUACAUCUCUGGUCCAGGCCAAUAAUGAAGGAAAUUGGAGAUCGGUGUGGCGGCUGGAUAGAGACAGAAGAAGAAACCGAUAUAAAAAAUCAUCUCCGUUGGGCUAGGAUUCGUGUCAAAGGUCCGGCAAAAAAAAUUUCGGCAUCCAUUGAGAUCGCCGAUGAGGAGAACAUCUUCUCUCUACCUAUAUGGGUAGAAUCGCCGGUGACUUUUCGUAAAAAGUACAAUGAGGAAGCGUGUACAAGUAAGGAAAGAGACGAGGGUGGGUAUCGAGGGAGGAACCCAUCAGAUCUGUCUAGGUGCAGAGAUAUUCAUAGGUCUGAAAAGCUGCCUGUUAAACCUAACAGAGAAGAAAAGGUUUUUUUUGGUGAAAAAAGUCACGUGGGUGGAAAAGUCACAAAGGGGGCCACUUCAGAACAAAUAGAGGGCCACUUGGUUUUAAACCCUGGACCAAGUCAUUUAGGCUUGUUAAAAAACCAAUUUUUAAAAGACUGCCCGACAGAACCUGAGCCUUUUAUUUGCGAUGUAAAUCGCUGGGAAAAAAAUCAUGAAAUUAUAUACUCCUCAACUGAUCAGAAUCUGAUGGAAGAAACAAAGGUAAAAGAUUCAAUUAGCAAUUAUGUACAAUCGAAAGUCAACACACAGGUGAAUGCAGAAGCAUCUCCACAAAUUUUGGAAGAACUAAAUGAAGAAGAAGCUGAGUUAUAUGGGCAGAAUAGUUCGAAACAAAUCACAAUUCUGGGUGACCCAACAUCCAUUCAAUGUGAUGCUUCAGAAUGCAGCAAAGAAGUCAAAGGCAAGGCAACAGAAUGGGUACAGAAAAAUCUGUUGAGGCUAAGCAAAAAGUUUGGAGUAGCUUCCGAGGGGUGCACAGAGGAAGCUUUCAAUUUACUUCUGAAAAUUGACCAUAAGAGGCUCAAAGAGUUAACAAAAAUAGACCCCAUCUCAGGGACAUGUGAGAAUCAGAUGGUGCCCAAAGAAGUAAGGAAUCUUAACUUUGAUGUUAAUUACAAAUAUAAAGAUUCCAGGAAUGCAACAAGGAGUAGAGGGAGAAAUGCAACCUCACAUUUAUCAUGAAGACUAAAAAUAUUUUCAUGGAAUGUGAGGGGGCUCAACAUGGAUACCAAAAGGAAUCUGGUAAGCAGUAGAAUACAACAAGAGGUGGUGGACAUAAUAGUGUUGGUGGAGACGAAACUUAGGGGGGAGGUAGGGGAGUAUGUGCAACAGUUGGGGGGAAACAGAUGGAUGGGAGGAAUGUGGAUGGAAUCUUUAGGUAGUAAGGGGGGAAUCUUGAUAAUGUGGGACAAAAGGAAUUGGAAAGGGGAACCAGUAGAAAGAGGAAACCAAAGCAUUACCAGCAGUUUAAGUGGUUUAAAUCAAGACCUCAUCUGGUUCAUCACUGCAGUAUACGCACCAUGCGAUGGGAGGGAGAUACAGGAAUUGUGGGAGGAGUUGGGUGCAAUGAGGAGCUUCUGUGAAGGGCCAUGGGUGGUAUGUGGGGAUUUCAACACCACAAGGUUUCCAUCUGAAAAAACCAAUUGUAGCAGAAUUUCCGAGGCUAUGUCUGAUUUCUCCAGUUGCAUCAAUGAAUUGGAACUUGUGGAUCCCCCUUUAUUUGGGGGACCCUACACAUGGAGAGGAGGGGCAAAUCAGAAAAAUGCUUCAAGAAUCGACAGAUUCUUGUACUCUUUUCCUUGGGAUGAGAUGUUCACCCAAAUUAGACAAAGUACUUUACCUAGUUUGGGGUCUGAUCAUAAUCCAAUAGUACUGACCUGUGGGGAUGAGGUUUUCAAAAAAUCAUAUUUCAAGUUUGAGAAGUGGUGGUUAAAUGUGGAGGGUUUUCGAGACAAAGUUAAGGAGUGGUGGGGUUCCUUUAAUGUGACAGGCAGUCCUGACUUUAUACUAGCCUCAAAAUUGAGCUUCUUAAAAAAGAAGCUCAAAGAAUGGAGCAAAGAAAAUAGAGGCAACUGGAGGGUUAGGAAAGAACACCUACUGGAACAAAUUGGCAGUUUGGAAGACAUUCAAGAGCACAGAGCAUUAACAGAUGAUGGGCAACUUUUGAAAGCUCAUAUAGCAAUGGAGUAUGAGGAAAUCCAUUGGAGACAAAGAUCCAAAAUUCAGUGGAUAAAGAAUAGAGAUAAGAACACCAAGUUCUUCCACAGAAUGGUGACAUCCCACAAAAGGAACAAUACUAUAGAAUCCUAGUGAUUAAUGGAGAAGAGUCUUCAGAUCCUGUUGCAAUCAUAAAUGAAAUUGUGGAUUUUUAUCAGAUUUUGUACAAGGAGACAGAAAGUUGGAGACCAUCUUAACAUCUUGGAUGUUCAAACAAUCACAGAAGAAGAACAAAUCUUGUUGUCUAGAGACUUUGAGGAGGAAGAAGUUUUGGAAGGAAUAAAAUAGUGUGUUGUUGAUAAAGCACCUGGACCAGAUGGCUAUACAAUGGCUUUCUUCGGUGUUUUUUGGGAAACCAUCAAAGAUGAUGUGAUGCAGACCUUCCACAAAUUUCAUGCUCAUCAAAAGUUUGAAAAUAGUUUUAAUGCCACAUUUGUAGCUUUAAUUCCAAAGAAGGUGGGGGCAAAUGAGCUAAAGGAUUUUAGACCUAUCAGUUUGAUCACAGGGGUAUACAAGAUCAUAACUAAGGUGCUGGCAGAAAGGUUGAAAAAGGUGAUCAGUAAGCUAAUAAACAAGCACCAAAUGGCCUUUAUCAAAGGAAGGCAAAUCAUAGAUGCUGCACUUCUAGCUAGUGAGUGUAUUGAUUUUAGAAUUAGGGGUGGAACCCCUGGACUGAUGUGCAAGCUAGACAUUGAGAAGGCAUAUGACCAUUUGAACUGGGAGUUUCUAAUCAAUAUCCUAAGGCAGAUGGGGUUUGGGUGGAGAUGGUUAAGCUAGAUAAAUUUAUGCAUUAAAACCACUCGGUUCUCCAUACUUGUAAAUGGAGAACCAGUUGGUUUUUUUCCAGCAGAAAGAGGCCUGAGACAAGGGGACCCACUAUCCCCCUUUCUAUUUAUCUUAGCCAUGGAAGGUUUGGAUAGAUUGAUGAGAGUUGCUUCUCAGAAUAACUGGAUAAAGGGCUUUUCCUUAAAGAACAGGGUAAAUGAUACAAUUGAACUAACACAUCUUUUGUAUGCAGAUGACACAUUGGUAUUCUAUGAAGCUGAGCAGGAACAAAUUUCCUACUAAAGAGUGAUCCUGGUGGUCUUUGAGGCUUGCUCAGGAUUAAAAGUAAACUGGAGAAAGAGUAGCAUUUUUCCAAUUAAGGAAGUGCAACAGAUUGAGGAUCUUGCAAGCAUUUUGAAGUGCAAGAUAGAGAAGCUCCCAACAGUUUACCUUGGUAUGCCUUCGGGCUCCGAGCACAAAGCAGAAAUUUUUUGGAAUGGCAUUAUUGAGAAAACAGGGAAGAAAUUGGCUAUAUGGAAAUCUCAAUACCUAUCUCUGGGAGGUAGAGUUACACUAAUUAACUCAGUUCUGGAUUCUUUACCCACUUAUGUGAUGUCCCUCUUUCCUAUUCCUAGCAGGAUAGUGAAGGUUUUAGAUGCACUCAGAAGGGACUUCUUAUGGCAAGGGAACAAGAUAGCAAAUGGAUUCAACCUGGUGAAAUGGUAUGUAGUACAACAAAGCAAGAAAAAUGGGAGGCCCGUGAGAAAUUUAAAAGUUCAUAACAUGAGCCUCCUCUCAAAAUGGUUGUGGAGAUAUAAUCAAGAGGAGCAGGCUCUAUGGAAAGAGAUAAUAAACCACAAAUAUGGGCAAGAGGACUUCUGGUGCACUAGUGAAGUUAAUGAAACUUAUGGGGUUAGGGUGUGGAGGACCAUCAGAAACCUUUGGGAGAAUCUAAAGAACAACUCAAAAAUUGUGGUGGGCAAAGGAGACAAAACAAAGUUAUGGCUAGAUGAUUGGUGUGGAAAUGGGAUUUUGAGGGACUUGUUCCCUAUUCUUUUCUCAAUAUGCACAAAUACCAACAAAAAGAUAGAGGAGAUGUGGUCACCACAAGGUUGGAAUAUAAUAUUUAGAAGACUGCUAAAUGACUGGGAGAUUGAUGGAAUGGUGGAGUGUUUAGGCUUGAUUGGUGGAUUCCCAGGUACUACUCUAGAGCCAGACAGAUUAGCAUGGGGACAUCACAAAGAUGGGGUAUUUUCAGUGAAUAGAUUAUACAACUGGGGACUUAAAAAAUGUGCAGGAAGAUCCAUUGGACCUUUGAACACAAUAUGGAAAAGUGUGGCUCCUGCCAAGGUGAAGUGCUUCACUUGGUUGGUUGCUAGGAAAAAAUGUUUGACUCAUGAGGCAAUGCAGAAGAGGCGCAUCAACAUAGUAUCUAGAUGUCUCCUUUGUAAAGAAGCUCUGGAGACUAACAAACACUUAUUCAUGCACUGUAAGGUAACUGCUCAGGUGUGGGCUCUGUUUACAAGCAUAGCCAAUGAAUAUUGGACUAUGCCUGAACACACCUCUGACCUUGACCUUCUUAGUUGCUGGAACAAAAGGGGAGGCAAUAAAAGUUAGAAAAGAUGAUGGAGAACAAUUUCAGCAUGUAUCUGGUGGAUUAUAUGGAAAGAAAGGAAUCAGAGAAUUUUUGAAGGAAAGGAGUGUACAAUACAGAAGAUCAAAUGGAAAGUAAUUACUACUUUAGGUUUUUGGUGUAAAGAACAGGAUAUAGAAAAUGAGUUCCAAUUAGUGGACUUCAAAGGUUCUCUGUAAGUAUUUCUUUUUAGUCUUUUCCGUUUCUUGUAACCGUUUUUUGGAGAUGGCCAGCAUAGCCCUUAAUGCUGAGGAAUACAAAAAGUUACCAGUUUAUAUAUAUAUAUAUAUAUAUACACAAACAUAAAUAGAAGUCCUAUGGGACUUUAAGCAAAUGGCAAGAAGCAACACUCACACACCUUUUGAAGGAAACACCCAUAUACUGGAAACAGAAAAAUCACGUAACAUAUAUGAAUUUGAAAAAAAGAUCAUCUAACAUGUAUGAAUUAAGUAAUUAUAAUAUAAAAUCGCAAUCAUAAUCACAAUUACUACCACCCGAUGUACAAUCAUGGCAAUAUUAAUACAACUAUUCAAAUUAAACAUAAUUCACAUGUAAUUUCAACAAGGCCCAUAUACAAUAACUUCAAUCACAUUGAUUUUCAAUUUGCAAAUGAUCAACGAUAAGAAAAGAAUUAAUUUGCAACAUACUUCAUAUUAACUACUCAAAUAAAUGUACUAAGAGAGUAAAAUAUGAGAAAAGAAGAAGUUCAAACGAAAAGACUUGCACACUAAGAUAAGAAGAAAGAUUCAUUGUUUGAAGAGGAAAAAGAGAAAGAUGUAAAUCAAAAUAAGUUGAGAAACAGAAAGAGUAUAUGUUAUUAUUGAAUCCAUCACAACAGUAGAGCAGGUGUUAAACCUCAAGAAGAAGAAAACAAUGAAAAAUCUUAAGAGCGUAGCAGCAUACUAGUUUCCUUAUCUUUGUCUAUUCUUUUCUUUCUAUAGUCAGAUUCAAAGACUCAACUGCUUCUAGCUGUGAUCACUCUGUGUUUCUAUAUGCUUCACCCAUGAGGGGAUAACCCAUUGCCUACCGGUACUUAUCACAUAAAGCAACAAAACAUUGACUUCCAAUAAUACUGAAUUUCUCACAUAAUCAUAUCAUGAAACGAGCUACAAAUUAAUAACAUUAAUUAUAAUAAAAGGGUCCUCCUUUUCCCCAUUUUCCUAAUUUUAAUGGAUAGCUAAUGCAAGCCAAAUGUGUCACUUAUUGUCGACCACAGUUUGGUCUACUUCAGUUUUUUCGAGAACCCAAUCGGUGUAGCCCAAUUUCACAUUUACACUCGACCAGAAUCACAUUUUAUCUACAAGAAACAGAUGAGUAAUCAAUUAUAACCAAAUUCAUGGGUCAAAUAAUAGCUUUUUUUCCUUUGACAAGUCAAAUGACAAGCUAGUCUGUCCAACAAGAAAUUAGCACCUUAAAGUAUUUUCAUACAAGGAUGUUCUAAAUCUACAAAAUCAUUUUAAUUACAGAAAGGAUAUAGCAAACACAAAAAAGGAAAAAAGCAAAAAGAAACCGGAGAAAAUGAUAAGCUACUUUGUGUCCAAGAAGAAAUUAGUACCUAAAGGAAUUUCUAUAAGUGGAUGGGAUCUAGACAAUCAUCCCGAUUACAGGAUGGAUAUAGCUAGCGGAAACAAAAAAGGAGGAAGAGAAACCAAUAAUCAAAGAAAGUGGAACAAACAAACAACCAUUUUCACCUAGAAAUAGAUUUCUUUUUCUAGAUAUAUCUGAGAUUAAAAGAACAGAGUGCAAAAAGGGAAAGAAAAAAAUCCCACUCUUAGGUUCUGGAAUCGCCCACAAAGAUCGCCUAGGUUCAAAGCAGCGAACUUCUCCAGUCAUCUUCCUGCAAGAUAUCCUGUCUUAAUGGUGAUUGGAAGAACAGAUGAAGAAAGCCAACCUAUAGAAGAAGAUUUAGCUUAACCAAGAAGAAAAUCUAAUUUAAAUAGGGGACAAAAAUGAAGUUGUAACGGAGGAAUCUUUUAGAAAAAUCAAACUUCUCCGAGGAAGACAAGUGGUCAAAUCCAUUUACCAAUAGAAAGGAGACAAAUCAAAAUUAAUUUGGCACGAAAGCAGUUCAAAGUAUAUUAAGGACACACAAGAAAAUUGCAAUAAAUACUUAUUUAUUCAGGUAGAUGACUUUGUCAUCAAACUAACAAUGUAUCGGAAGAUAAACUAGGGAUUUAUGUAAAAAGAUUCACACUAAUGUAUUACACAUUAGCCAAGCUUCUCAUAACAGAAACAAUACCGGAGAAAUGGAAUCCCUAUCCACAAAUGACAAUUUUUCAACAAAUGCAAGAAUAAGUAGUCCCUCCAUUGAAAUGCAUGAGAAAAUUUGAAAUUAAUUAUUGUAAAAAUUCCAUAGCUAUAACAGUGCUAACUAGAUCUACCUGAUCGGGAAUCAUGAGUCCCAAACAAUAAAUAUUACAGUUUUGGCAUUCAUCUAACAGUAUCUUAUUUAGAUAAUCCCACGUUUGAGAAGAAAAGAACUCUGAGUUUCGCAGUAAGAAGCAACUAAAACAAACUUCGUGACAAGAAAGAUUUGAUAAACUCAAUCAUAAAUACAACCCCUCAGACUCCUGGAAAUCGUGUAGAAGAACAUCUGGAAACACUCUAAACUUGCAAUAGAAAGAGAGUCUAAUCUGAAGCUACAUGGAAUUUAUUCUCAAUUAGGAAAGAAGAUCAAGCAUUUAUGAGGAAAGCCAACCUUUUCAUUUGUUUCCUUAAGAAAUUCUAGAGAUCUAAAAUGAUGGAACCAAAGAAAAUAAUCUUAGUACAUCUUAUACAUUGAUUAGGAAAAUACUUAUUAUAGUAGCAUUAAAGUAGAAACACGCUUCUCCAACCAUGUAGCUAUUUUUUGUGAAGAUCUAAACUCAUAUAUCACUUGACUAAUGAAAAGACCAAGAAAAGGUAACCCAAAAUGAUCCUUCCGGCAACAUUUAGCUAGUUGUUAAGGUUGAAAAGACUUUUGAAGGUGAAACAGACGCAUGCCAUUUGGGGUAAGAGAAAGCCGUUGUUGUACAUUGUCCUUUGUUUGCUCUUUUCAUGUUUCAAGCAAUAAUUUUAUUUUUUUGUACUAGACAUAUCUUUGCAACUACAGAGCUUUCUCCUGAUGGAGUCACUGAUAUGCCUCUCUUUAAUAGCUAAUCAAAAGCUGGUUAACACCUUGAGGUUCGGGAAUAAAAAUUAAUCCACACCUAUCUUGAGCUUCUAAAUUGUGGUGACCACAUUAUCAGAACCAAAAAAGUUUGUCCAUAAUUGAUUCUCUCGUAUGUGCCUAAGGAAAAUUCCAGGAUAACAUGCAUAAUCAAAUCGGUUUUUCUGUUGCAUUCAACAAAUCCAACAAAAAGAAAAAUAAAUCCAACAAAAAAUUUAACUGCAAAAUUCGCAUUUGACAGAACUCUUGUCAUAAGCAAAGAUGUCAAUGAUGACGUAUUACUGACACCCGACGUGGACUCUUCAUUAUCUUGUCUUCCAUUACAAAUACUAUUUAUUAGCUAACAAUUGGUAUCAGAGCUCUAUCUGUGUAUGCUAUGUGGUUGCUUUGAAACAAAUUUGUUAAAUUUGACAAGAUUUUAUAUGAACUAGUGUGAAUAGUUGGAAGGAAGAUAAUUUUUCAUUGGGACAAAAUGUCAAGGUAUUGAAUUUGUAGUAGAAAUUUUGGCAAACCAUUAAAUAGUUUCACAAGUUGAAUCUUGACAUUUGCAUACUAGUGAUGUCAUUGAUGACAUUAAGAGGAAGAAUUCAUUUCCUAUAAAUAUGUAGUCAAUUGUUCAUUUGUGACACACUUCUCACUUGCCUUCUCAUCUUCUAAGGCAUUUGAGUCUUCUUUCUCUCAUAUAGUAUUUCACUUGUAUUCUUAUGGAUUGAAAUAAAUUUUGGUUGGUUGUGGUGUUUGAGGACUAGGCAAAAAACAAAAUUUUACCGAACCUCAUAAAUUUUUGUCCAUUUUUAUAUGGUCUCAUUAACUAUUUAUUAGCUGCCUUUCAAUAUAGCAGUUGUGAUUUCAUCACACUCUAAAGAUUCGGCUUUCGCAACAAGAAUGAAAAUACAUGUAGGAUAAAAACAACUAGGUUCCAACUUCGGUCAUGUACCAUUGAUAGAGUCAAAAAAUGAUACGUAAGAUCUGAGCAACAUCAUGACACUAAAUGUUUGGUCAUGGUGGAAAAUACUCCUCCCAUUUACCAUAGAUGAUAGGCAAAGGUUCCUAAAGUUGGACCACAUUGAAGAAGCUAAUCCUUCAUUUAUCAUCAAAACUUGAAGUUCACAAGUAAAUAUGGUGAUUGGAAUAACUUCUUUACUCCAUUGAUAAUCCUAGAAGAGGUGAAAAGUAAGUUGCUUCCAUUAUGUUUUGGUUACUUGGUUUCAGGAAAAUAAAAUUAUUUUUAUUUUUUACUAUAAAUUUGAUCCCAGAGAACCCAACAAAAAUGUGUGGUUGAACUCUCACAAAACUUUAGCACUAUGUUUUCUGACAAGAAAAAGAAAUUACAGGUCAUUGAUCGUGCUUGAGACUUGGUCAGGACUCUAAAAUUGGAUAUAAAAAAAUCACACUCUUAAUAUGAUUUCAUAAAUGCAUUUGGCAACGAGGGAACUGCAACACAAAUUCUGAAAAUGAAAUCAUGGGGUGCAAAAUGUAUUACCUUAAUUCAUGAAUUAAUUGAUAGGAGGUAUGUGCUAUGAGUAAAGAAAAUCAUCCGUCUUUCCUGCUAAAACAAAAUUAUCCAAGUCAUUAACUAUGUAAGAAACAUUACGUCAUAAAUCUAACCCUAAAAUAUAAAAACACAACAAGAGGGAGCAUGCAACAACAAGCUUUGACAAAGUUUUCACAGUAAGAGAAAGUAAAAGACGAGAGGAAAUACUUUCUCUUUCUUCGAUCAACAGAAGCAUUCCUUGGGUCAGUUUUUAGCAAGACCAGAUCCAGGAGGGAUGGCAUACUGCAUCUGGGAAAGAGCUGCAGCUGUAACAGGUGUAGGAGCAGGAGGUGGAGCGGCUGGUGGGUCUACACUUGAUGGUAGUGAUGCAGGUGGAGCAGAACUUGGUGCAGUUGCAGGCUCAGGAAGCGGCCGAGGCAAAAUAUGUUUCAACCGGUUAUUUCUAUAGUUCUUCCAGAAGUAAAAUUGCUGCCUAUGUGCCACUUCCU